RNAcentral lists this ribosomal RNA (463 nucleotides) under uncultured Sphingomonas sp. RNAcentral's name for it is "bacterial SSU rRNA". It matches the Rfam family "Bacterial small subunit ribosomal RNA", at positions 67 to 576 of the family's 1533-position model. The record is from RNAcentral. Lineage: Bacteria; Pseudomonadati; Pseudomonadota; Alphaproteobacteria; Sphingomonadales; Sphingomonadaceae.
CGAAGGCUUCGGCCUUAGUGGCGCACGGGUGCGUAACGCGUGGGAAUCUGCCCUCAGGUUCGGAAUAACAGCGAGAAAUUGCUGCUAAUACCGGAUGAUAUCGCGAGAUCAAAGAUUUAUCGCCUGAGGAUGAGCCCGCGUAGGAUUAGCUAGUUGGUGUGGUAAAGGCGCACCAAGGCGACGAUCCUUAGCUGGUCUGAGAGGAUGAUCAGCCACACUGGGACUGAGACACGGCCCAGACUCCUACGGGAGGCAGCAGUGGGGAAUAUUGGACAAUGGGCGAAAGCCUGAUCCAGCAAUGCCGCGUGAGUGAUGAAGGCCUUAGGGUUGUAAAGCUCUUUUACCCGGGAUGAUAAUGACAGUACCGGGAGAAUAAGCUCCGGCUAACUCCGUGCCAGCAGCCGCGGUAAUACGGAGGGAGCUAGCGUUAUUCGGAAUUACUGGGCGUAAAGCGCACGUAGGC